GGUCUCCUCUCUGCCUCUGCGAUUUCUGAAAGUGCCCUCUGCCGGUCUCCUCUCGCCGUUGCCACCCGCCAUCCCCAGCCUCGCCGUCGUCCAUCCAUCUCUGCCUCAUCGUCACAUAUUCUGGCCAUCUCUCGCUCUCUGCUUCGUCGAAUCUUCGUCGCCACUCGCCGUCCUCGGCCAUCUCUGCUUCGCCUAUCUCUUCUUCGUAUCCACAAGUUUUCAAAUAAUCAGCGAUGGGAAAAGGCAAAGCCAAGAUAGAGAUAAAAAAAAUUGAGUCUUGCAGGCUCGAAACGUCUGUUUCACGAAGCGCCGCAAGGGGCUGUUCAAAAAGGCGGCGGAGCUCGGCCGCCUCUUCCCCGAAGUUCGCAUUGCUGCUGUUGUCUUUUCUCCCGCCGGAAAUCCAUACUUUUUUGGUGAGGUUUCGAAAAUGGAGAAGCUGUUGACCAGAUGUGAAGAAGAAGAAAUUGCGAGUUCUACUCCGGUGGUGGAGGUUACAGCGCCGACUGAGAGUCCGGAGAUGGAUUUUGAUGGAUUGGAUGAGAUCGUCUGGAGAUGGUGAAGAUGGAUCAGCCUAACUGAAUUGGCCUUGUGUUUUUCGUAAUUGUAAGUAGUAAGUUGCAAGUAAUGACUUCCAAUUUUGCAGAUUCGUUGCUUACUUAAUGAAGUCUGAUCGUGAGCAUUUUGUUCACGGAUGAUCUUGUAUGCCUUCUGGCUGCUUUAUAUAAUUUCUAUUUUAAACACAAGUAAUUUUGUUCAAGUAAUUGAUGAAUUAAUUAUAUCCAGUUGAGU
Molecule: long non-coding RNA, 789 nt
Organism: Ipomoea nil (Japanese morning glory)
Lineage: Eukaryota; Viridiplantae; Streptophyta; Magnoliopsida; Solanales; Convolvulaceae
Exons: 3
Source: RefSeq, a predicted model, not a curated record